CCCUACUGGAGAAAAAUCAUAUCAAGUAGCUGACUUGUAUUGGAGUAAGUGAAAAUCACCAGGCUGAAGUCCUUUUCUCUGCACGCCACCUUGACUUCUGUUAUCAGCACCUCCUGAGACUGCUUAUGCCUACCAACCAGUGAACUCCUUUUAAGGAAAUUCAGUGGACACGUUCAUGUUCAUCAUACUUGGCCAGGUUGACCACUUCCUUAUUUUUGUUUGUUU
RNAcentral lists this long non-coding RNA (225 nucleotides) under Mustela putorius furo (domestic ferret). Its description in RNAcentral is "lncRNA (ENSMPUG00000026845.1)". The record is from RNAcentral. Lineage: Eukaryota; Metazoa; Chordata; Mammalia; Carnivora; Mustelidae.